This 645-nucleotide ribosomal RNA is filed under the name uncultured bacterium. RNAcentral describes it as "bacterial SSU rRNA". It matches the Rfam family "Bacterial small subunit ribosomal RNA", at positions 8 to 648 of the family's 1533-position model. The record is from RNAcentral.
AGGGUUUGAUCAUGGCUCAGAUUGAACGCUGGCGGAAUGCUUUACACAUGCAAGUCGAACGAUGAAGCCUAGCUUGCUAGGUGAAUUAGUGGCGGACGGGUGAGUAAUAUAUCGGAACGUGUCCAUUAAUGGGGGAUAACUAAUCGAAAGGUUAGCUAAUACCGCAUACGCCCUGAGGGGGAAAGCUGGGGAUCUUCGGACCUAGCGUUAAUGGAGCGGCCGAUACCUGAUUAGCUAGUUGGUGGGGUAAAAGCCUACCAAGGCAACGAUCAGUAGCUGGUCUGAGAGGACGACCAGCCACACUGGGACUGAGACACGGCCCAGACUCCUACGGGAGGCAGCAGUGGGGAAUUUUGGACAAUGGGGGCAACCCUGAUCCAGCCAUUCCGCGUGAGUGAAGAAGGCCUUCGGGUUGUAAAGCUCUUUCGCAAGGGAAGAAACGAUAUAGGUUAAUAGCUUAUGUUAAUGACGGUACCUUGACAAGAAGCACCGGCUAACUACGUGCCAGCAGCCGCGGUAAUACGUAGGGUGCAAGCGUUAAUCGGAAUUACUGGGCGUAAAGCGUGCGCAGGCUGUUUUGUAAGUCAGAUGUGAAAUCCCCGAGCUCAACUUGGGAACUGCGUUUGAAACUACAAGACUAGAAUA